RNAcentral lists this transfer RNA (85 nucleotides) under Bartonella sp. A05. RNAcentral's name for it is "Bartonella sp. A5(2022) tRNA-Leu". It matches the Rfam family "tRNA". Rfam says of the family: Transfer RNA (tRNA) molecules are approximately 80 nucleotides in length. Their secondary structure includes four short double-helical elements and three loops (D, anti-codon, and T loops). Lineage: Bacteria; Pseudomonadati; Pseudomonadota; Alphaproteobacteria; Hyphomicrobiales; Bartonellaceae. The record is from RNAcentral.
GCCCAGAUGGCGAAAUUGGUAGACGCGCAGGUUUCAGGUACCUGUGCCGCAAGGCGUGGAGGUUCGAGUCCUCUUUUGGGCACCA